GGAGGGGUGGCCGAGUGGUUAAAGGCAGCAGACUGUAAAUCUGCCGGCGUAAGUCUACGUGGGUUCGAAUCCUACCCCCUCCACCA
Molecule: transfer RNA, 86 nt
Filed under: Holosporales bacterium
Lineage: Bacteria; Pseudomonadati; Pseudomonadota; Alphaproteobacteria; Holosporales
Description: tRNA-Tyr
Rfam family: tRNA
About the family: Transfer RNA (tRNA) molecules are approximately 80 nucleotides in length. Their secondary structure includes four short double-helical elements and three loops (D, anti-codon, and T loops).
Source: RNAcentral